UACGAAGGGGGCGAGCGUUGUUCGGAUUUACUGGGCGUAAAGGGCGCGUAGGCGGCGGUCCAAGUCGAGUGUGAAAGCCCCGGGCUCAACCUGGGAGGUGCGCUCGAGACUGGUUCGCUGGAGUUCGGGAGAGGAGAGUGGAAUUCCCAGUGUAGAGGUGAAAUUCGUAGAUAUUGGGAAGAACACCGGUGGCGAAGGCGGCUCUCUGGACCGAGACUGACGCUGAGGCGCGAAAGCGUGGGGAGCAAACAGG
This 253-nucleotide ribosomal RNA is filed under the name uncultured prokaryote. Its description in RNAcentral is "partial 16S ribosomal RNA". It matches the Rfam family "Bacterial small subunit ribosomal RNA", at positions 524 to 776 of the family's 1533-position model. The record is from RNAcentral.